UACGUAGGGGGCGAGCGUUGUCCGGAUUUAUUGGGCGUAAAGAGCGUGUAGGCGGCCAGGUAGGUCCGUUGUGAAAACUCGAGGCUACAACCUCGAGACGUCGGCGGAAACCCUCUGGCUAGAGUGCGGUAGAGGGUAGUGGAAUUCCCGGUGUAGCAGUGAAAUGCGUAGAGAUCGGGAGGAACAUCUGUGGCGAAGGCGGUUGCCUGGGGCUUUGCUGACGCUGAUGCGCGAAAGCGUGGGGAGCGAACAGG
This 254-nucleotide ribosomal RNA is filed under the name uncultured bacterium. RNAcentral describes it as "partial 16S ribosomal RNA". It matches the Rfam family "Bacterial small subunit ribosomal RNA", at positions 524 to 776 of the family's 1533-position model. The record is from RNAcentral.